CCUACGGGAGGCAGCAGUGGGGAAUAUUGCACAAUGGGGGAAACCCUGAUGCAGCCAUGCCGCGUGUAUGAAGAAGGCCUUCGGGUUGUAAAGUACUUUCAGCGAGGAGGAAGGCGGUAAGAUUAAUAACCUUAUCGAUUGACGUUACUCGCAGAAGAAGCACCGGCUAACUCCGUGCCAGCAGCCGCGGUAAUACGGAGGGUGCAAGCGUUAAUCGGAAUUACUGGGCGUAAAGCGCACGCAGGCGGUUUGUUAAGUCAGAUGUGAAAUCCCCGAGCUUAACUUGGGAACUGCAUUUGAAACUGGCAAGCUAGAGUCUCGUAGAGGGGGGUAGAAUUCCAGGUGUAGCGGUGAAAUGCGUAGAGAUCUGGAGGAAUACCGGUGGCGAAGGCGGCCCCCUGGAC
Molecule: ribosomal RNA, 404 nt
Filed under: uncultured Gemella sp.
Lineage: Bacteria; Bacillati; Bacillota; Bacilli; Caryophanales; Gemellaceae
Description: bacterial SSU rRNA
Rfam family: Bacterial small subunit ribosomal RNA
Source: RNAcentral